This 85-nucleotide transfer RNA is filed under the name Oscillospiraceae bacterium. Its description in RNAcentral is "tRNA-Leu". It matches the Rfam family "tRNA". Rfam says of the family: Transfer RNA (tRNA) molecules are approximately 80 nucleotides in length. Their secondary structure includes four short double-helical elements and three loops (D, anti-codon, and T loops). RNAcentral also lists the same sequence under 1 other name. The record is from RNAcentral. Lineage: Bacteria; Bacillati; Bacillota; Clostridia; Eubacteriales; Oscillospiraceae.
GCGGGUAUGAUGGAAUUGGCAGACAUGCGAGAUUUAGGUUCUCGUGCCGCAAGGCGUGCAGGUUCGACCCCUGUUACCCGCACCA